CCUACGGGAGACAGCAGUGAGGAAUAUUGGUCAAUGGGCUUACGCCUGAACCAGCCAAGUCGCGUGAGGGAAGACUGCCCUAUGGGUUGUAAACCUCUUUUGUCAGGGAGCAACGCCGGCUACGUGUAGCCUGACUGAUAGUACCUGAAGAAAAAGCAUCGGCUAACUCCGUGCCAGCAGCCGCGGUAAUACGGAGGAUGCGAGCGGUAUCCGGAUUUAUUGGGUUUAAAGGUUGCGUAGGCGGAAUGCCAAGUCAGCGGUAAAAUCGCGGGGCUCAACCUCGCUCCGCCGUUGAAACUGGCGUUCUUGAGUGGGCGAGAAGUAUGCGGAAGGCGAGGUGUAGCGGUGAAAUGCAUAGAUAUCACGCAGAUCUACGAUUGCGAAGGCAGCAUACCGGCGCGCAACUGACGCUGAAGCACGAAAGCGUGGGUAUCGAACAGGAUUAGAUACCCCAGUAGUC
Molecule: ribosomal RNA, 460 nt
Filed under: uncultured bacterium
Lineage: Bacteria
Description: partial 16S ribosomal RNA
Rfam family: Bacterial small subunit ribosomal RNA
Source: RNAcentral